CAAGUGAGAGCAGGAAGUAUUUGCAAAUGAUUAUUUGAAUAAGUGUGUCUGAAUCACUUGGAUAACAUUUGCAACAUUUUUUGUUAAACAAAUACAGAAAACCACAACAGUACAAGCAUUUUUAAUCCUCAGAAGAUUUAAGAAAAGAUUUGUUUGUGGAAACCUGUGCCAUUAAGAACUUAGUCCAGAUGUUUGUGUGUCCAUCUUCGAACCUUUCAAGGGUCCUUCCUUUACUUGUAAAAAUUGCAGUUGUCCAGUAUAGGAAAAAUGCUAUUUAGCUAAGACAAAUGAGGAGUAAGUUUAACAGUAUACCUGUACCGUGGUAUCAGGAAAUAGUAGCUGCCUUCUUAGAAGUACCUUAACCUCCUUUGGUGCUGAAGAAGCUUCUCUAGACUAUGUCAUGCUGCAUCCUGUCAGCAUACCAUGGAGAAAUGCUACAAACGUAUUCGUUCACCAGCUGGAAACACUGCGUAUGCUGUGCAUUGAACUCAUGCUCCAGUAAGAGAUUAUUUCAGUCAAGGUAAGAA
This is a long non-coding RNA of Columba livia (rock pigeon), 527 nucleotides long. RefSeq lists it as uncharacterized. The record is from RefSeq and is a predicted model, not a curated record. The transcript is spliced from 3 exons. NCBI's taxonomy places the organism in Eukaryota, Metazoa, Chordata, Aves, Columbiformes, Columbidae.